RNAcentral lists this ribosomal RNA (253 nucleotides) under uncultured bacterium. RNAcentral's name for it is "partial 16S ribosomal RNA". It matches the Rfam family "Bacterial small subunit ribosomal RNA", at positions 524 to 776 of the family's 1533-position model. The record is from RNAcentral.
UACGAAGGGGGCUAGCGUUGCUCGGAAUUACUGGGCGUAAAGGGAGCGUAGGCGGACAUUUAAGUCAGGGGUGAAAUCCCGGGGCUCAACCCCGGAAUGGCCUUCGAGACUGGUGGUCUUGAGUUCGAGAGAGGUGAGUGGAAUUCCGAGUGUAGAGGUGAAAUUCGUAGAUAUUCGGAAGAACACCAGUGGCGAAGGCGACAUACUGGCUCAUUACUGACGCUGAGGCUCGAAAGCGUGGGGAGCAAACAGG